RNAcentral lists this ribosomal RNA (505 nucleotides) under uncultured bacterium. RNAcentral's name for it is "partial 16S ribosomal RNA". It matches the Rfam family "Bacterial small subunit ribosomal RNA", at positions 28 to 507 of the family's 1533-position model. The record is from RNAcentral.
GACGAACGCUGGCGGCGUGCCUAAUACAUGCAAGUAGAACGCACAGUUUAUACCGUAGCUUGCUACACCAUAGACUGUGAGUUGCGAACGGGUGAGUAACGCGUAGGUAACCUGCCUGGUAGCGGGGGAUAACUAUUGGAAACGAUAGCUAAUACCGCAUAAUAUUAAUUAUUGCAUGAUAAUUAAUUGAAAGGUGCAAUUGCACCACUACCAGAUGGCCCUGCGUUGUAUUAGCUAGUAGGUGAGGUAACGGCUCACCUAGGCGACGGUACAUAGCCGACCUGAGAGGGUGGUCGGCCACACUGGGACUGGGACACGGCCCAGACUCCUUCGGGGGGCAGCAGUAGGGGAUCUUCGGCAAUGGGCGGAAGUCUGACCGAGCAACGCCGCGGGAGGGGAGAAGGUUUUCGGGUCGUAAAGCUCUGUUGUAAGGGAAGAACGGGUGUGAGAGUGGAAAGUUCACACUGUGACGGUAUCUUACCAGAAAGGGACGGCUAACUACGUG